This is a non-coding RNA of Brachypodium distachyon (stiff brome), 125 nucleotides long. The record is from Rfam. Lineage: Eukaryota; Viridiplantae; Streptophyta; Magnoliopsida; Poales; Poaceae.
GUCCUGCUCCCUCCGAUCCAUAUUAAUUGUCAAAAGAUUGUAUGUAUCUAAACGUUUUUUAAAUAUAAAUACAUACAUAUUUAGUCAAAUUUGAAACAAAUAAUAUGGGUCGGAGGGAGUAAUUA